CAGCCGCGUAAUUCCGGCUCCAAUAGCGUAUAUUAAAGUUGUUGCAGUUAAAAAGCUCGUAGUUGAAUUUCGGGAUCAAUAUGUUGGUCGUGCCUUGGUACGUACUGGCGUCAUUGGUUUCUACCUUCUGAAGAACCUCGAUGUCAUUAAUUUGGUGUCUUGGGGAAUCAGGACUGUUACUUUGAAAAAAUUAGAGUGUUUAAAGCAAGCUCACGCUUGAAUACAUUAGCAUGGAAUAAUGAAAUAGGACGUUUGAUUCUAUUUUGUUGGUUUCUAGGAUCGACGUAAUGAUUAAUAGGGAUAGUUGGGGGCAUUAGUAUUCAAUUGUCAGAGGUGAAAUUCUUGGAUUUAUUGAAGACUAACUACUGCGAAAGCAUUUGCCAAGGAUGUUUUCAUUAAUCAAGAACGAAAGUUAGGGGAUCGAAGACGAUCAGAUACCGUCGUAGUCUUAACCAUAAACUAUGCCGACUAGGGAUCGGAUGAUGAUAAUUUUUUAAUGACUCAUUCGGCGCCUUACG
Molecule: unclassified non-coding RNA, 518 nt
Filed under: uncultured Glomeromycotina
Lineage: Eukaryota; Fungi; Glomeromycota
Description: SSU rRNA
Rfam family: Eukaryotic small subunit ribosomal RNA
Source: RNAcentral